ACCUCAACUGGCUCCUUUCGACGACACGUAAUGUUCGGUGAAUCGGAAAAUUGCGGAACAUUUAUGUACCUAUUUUUCGGAUUUCUACUACGUAAGCAACCUUCCCACGUCAAUCCUACGCACGGCGUUAUACAUGAGGCCCAUGAUCUCCUCAGCAGAGGCCUUCCUUUUGUUGGUCCUGGACUCGGCAAAGUGAAAGAAAACACAGGCAUAUCGCUUUUGUCUUCCUCUUAAAGUGUCGCACAAGGGUGACAGAGUUCAAGCUUUUAAAUUUUUAAAUAGAAAGUGAUUUAUUUUCAUUGUAUAGUGGUGUUUGCGCUAAAAAAUGAAUUUACCUUAUCUCUGACACACACUUAGAGGCUUUUCUUCUCACAAGGGCAAUAGAGAUACUGAGUCUGUAAUCACAUGAGCAUGCUUCCCAGACUGCUCUCUGCCACAGUUCUGCUCUCUUCUUCUUCGAACGCGUGUUCCCAUAUGGUGAGGGAUGAUUUUAAUAAUGAUGCUUGUCAAGAAGAUGAUGAUUGACACCUGCUUCCCCCACCCACAGAUUGCCAGAAGACAGCGAGCAGUGUGAAAGCCUUAUUCCUCUACACAGCGUCUCCCCCAGUGAAGGAAGCUUCUGCUCGUGAUCCAGCAGCCAACACAAGUGGUGAAUGUGGAUCUCUGAGCUGACAAUCUGGAUCUUUUCAGAGACAUUGAACUACCCCAGUGCCUCCUUUAAAUCUAUUUUCUACAGUGUUGAGACGUCACAAACAUUUCUACAAGCUCUUUUUGUAUUUCCAUGUUCCAGUCAUCACAGACAUGAGACUUUUCCUUUAAAAGAUUUUCACGUUAUUCCUUUGUAAAAAGAAACCUAAUGGUUCUCAAGGUGCUGGACAUUAACAGUGAUUACCAUAUUGUUAUGUGACCAAAUGAAACGGUACAUUUUAAACUUGAUCAUAACACUAACAGAGAUACAGUAACUUUGUGUGUUUUAAAAAUGUGUGAGUUCCGAGUUCACACAACAUUUUUCAGGAGCUGUUCUGUUCUGGAUGUUGUCUGUCUGUUGAAGCCUUGCUCCUUCUUUGUUAAAUAUUUGUGUGAAGCAGACACAUUUUCACAAAUGACAAUCUGUAAGACGUUGAUUCGGUUGACUUUUUGACGGAGAAAGCUUGCUUUUUUAUAUACCAGCAGUGUAAUCAACUUCAUAUGGUAGUCAUAAAAACAGCACAGUGAUGACGUCAUCUUACUCAGCCUCGGCAGCUCGGGUGAAGACCAAACCUUUCAGAGUAACCUGCAUUACUUUAGAGCUCCAGUUACACAAUCCUGAUAGAAUUCAAAAGUUUAAAGGGAAAGUUGGUAUUGUUUAAGGUGGGGCUGUAUAAGGCUCUAUCCAUAGUCAGUGUAUCACCUUCAGGAGAUGGAGGAGAAGCUGUGCAUACUGAUAGCACUGUCAUUUUUUGUCAAAUGCAGUGCAUUGCUACACUGCUCGUACUCCUGUCUGAUCUCCACACUGCGUCUACUGUAGGACAUGCACUGCCUAUGGAGAGCCAGCUCAUACAACCCCACUUCUAACUAUCCCUUUCAAAUCUGUCAGUGCAAUCCUGCGUUAUUUAACAUUUGAGUCUCUCUUUCACUGAGACAAACUGAGUCUGAUAUGAAGAAUAAUUCAAACCCACUACAGCUGAAUAAAGAAGCAACACCAGCUUCACCAGCACUUUGUUUCAGUGAUGAAUCAUGAAGACAAACUGUGAUUGAGACAUAAUCCUUGUCUUUGAAUAUGAAGUCAUGACAAGUCUUUAGCUAUAAGCUACAAAGGCCUUGCUGCAAUAACGUGUGUCUAUUGUAUGAACAGAUUCCUUUUCAUAAUGGCUGUAAAUACUGUACACAGUAGUAUCAGUUUUGUUGCAUUUCAGAUAACCACUACAGAUUCCUAUCUGAGAUUGUGUAUCAUUUGUAUAUUGUAUGUGUCAUUGUUAAUGAAUUGUACCAGAGGAAAUGUUUGCAGCCAAAUUGUUGUACUGAGAUUGUAUCACAUGGAGUGGAAGGUUGUAUAUGAUCCUUUUCUUUCUUCAGCAAAAAAAGAUGUAUUUACUGCCUGUGAUUUCAUGUGAUGAGAAACAAAUGUUUCUUUAAGCAGCCUCAGUGUGUGUCAUAGAAUCCAGGAUGUUAACACUAAACAGUUGAAGGUAAAGUGUCCAUGUUAUUCCACAUCCUGAUAGAGGUCAGAUAUUUUUCUUUUAAUGGAGUGUUUAUUGCACUCAGCGUUGACUGCACGUAUGAAGUGGCGGAAGUAAUAAGCGGUCUUUGGGGAGGAACUAACGGGACCACAUUUCUCUUGUUCAUUAUUGAAUCUGCUAUGUUUUUGCCAAUCAGUCAAGUACAAAAGCUUUUUAGGAUGAUUAGUUUGCUCAGAUGUCUGCCUUGACAUUCUUUUUUUAUUUUCAUCUUUUGUCAACGGUGCUUGUGGAAUCAUAGAUAUGAUUAGAUUUCUUUCUCCUGUUCUUCGUCUUUUUUUUCUGAGAAAUGUCUUUUUCCUUAAAGUUCAAAUGAAUGUUAUAAAAUGUAAAAGAAGGCUGUAAUAGUAGCUUCCCUUGUAUCAACCUCAACUCUUGAAGUCUGUUUUCAUACUUGCACUGCACUAUUAAACAAGUCUUUUUAAA
Molecule: long non-coding RNA, 2642 nt
Organism: Notothenia coriiceps (black rockcod)
Lineage: Eukaryota; Metazoa; Chordata; Actinopteri; Perciformes; Nototheniidae
Exons: 2
Source: RefSeq, a predicted model, not a curated record